UACCAGCUCUCCGAGUGGUAGGGAUGAUUAUUGGGCUUAAAGCGUCCGUAGCCGGCUUAGCAAGUUUCCUGUUAAACCCAGCGACUCAAUCGUUGGAUCGCGGGAAAUACUACUAGGCUAGGAGGCGGGAGAGGUCAACGGUACUUCUGGGGUAGGGGUGAAAUCCUAUAAUCCCGGGAGGACCACCAGUGGCGAAGGCUGUUGACUAGAACGCGCUCGACGGUGAGGGACGAAAGCUGGGGUAGCAAACCGGAUUAGAUACCCGGGUAGUCCCAGCUGUAAACGAUGCGAGCUAGGUGUUGGGGUGGCUACGUGCCACUUCAGUGCCGCAGGGAAGCCAUUAAGCUCGCCGCCUGGGGAGUACGGCCGCAAGGCUGAAACUUAAAGGAAUUGGCGGGGAGCACCACAAGGCGUGAAGCUUGCGGUUC
RNAcentral lists this ribosomal RNA (428 nucleotides) under uncultured archaeon. Its description in RNAcentral is "bacterial SSU rRNA". It matches the Rfam family "Archaeal small subunit ribosomal RNA", at positions 474 to 903 of the family's 1478-position model. The record is from RNAcentral.